AAUAGAUACCCGGGUAGUCCAUGCCGUAAACGUUGGGCGCUAGAUGUGGGGACCAUUCCACGGUUUCCGUGUCGCAGCUAACGCAUUAAGCGCCCCGCCUGGGGAGUACGGCCGCAAGGCUAAAACUCAAAGGAAUUGACGGGGGCCCGCACAAGCGGCGGAGCAUGCGGAUUAAUUCGAUGCAACGCGAAGAACCUUACCAAGGCUUGACAUAUACGAGAACGCUCUAGAAAUAGAGAACUCUUUGGACACUCGUAUACAGGUGGUGCAUGGUUGUCGUCAGCUCGUGUCGUGAGAUGUUGGGUUAAGUCCCGCAACGAGCGCAACCCUCGUUCUAUGUUGCCAGCGGUUCGGCCGGGAACUCAUAGGAGACUGCCGGGGUCAACUCGGAGGAAGGUGGGGAUGACGUCAAAUCAUCAUGCCCCUUAUGUCUUGGGCUUCACGCAUGCUACAAUGGCCGGUACAAAGGGCUGCAAUACCGCAAGGUGGAGCGAAUCCCAAAAAGCCGGUCUCAGUUCGGAUUGAGGU
RNAcentral lists this ribosomal RNA (528 nucleotides) under uncultured bacterium. RNAcentral's name for it is "bacterial SSU rRNA". It matches the Rfam family "Bacterial small subunit ribosomal RNA", at positions 777 to 1304 of the family's 1533-position model. The record is from RNAcentral.